UCACUUGGGAUCUGUGAAGUCUGGGCUGGACAGACACUGAAUUAGGUGCCUGAGACCUAGAAGUAGACACAGCAGCUCUGGGCCGUGAGCAGCCGUGAGCAGCCGUGAGCAGCCAGCUUUGUGCUCCCAGCAGAGCCUGGCUCUGAAGAACCAGAAGGCAACAGGUUUCUCUUGGGGAGGUCAUUCUCCAGGCCAAGGAGAGGCUGCCUGGCUUUUUCGUGGAGACUGCGUAUAACAGAAAUACUCCUCCUGGGCCGGUGUUCUAGGAGGGCCAAAGUCAAGUCCCUUCCUCCUACUCGGACCUAGGAGCCCCCACCUGAUGUGACUCAUGCCUGAGGCGGAUGCCAGCAGCCUCUCCAGGCAUCCGAAGACAUUUGGGGGGUCCACUUCCCAGGAGCAGCCCCUCCAGCGCCUCUCUCGGCCUGUGUGAUGUUUUCUGAAGAAAGAUGCCUUUUGAUCUAAGGGCGGCAGCGCUGAGAUCUCUCCAUGUCCUCCUUCCAGCCACCUCUGCUCUCUCUCUGCAUCCUGGUGCAGAGCUGUGGGCACCGCGUGGCAUUGGAUGAGUGGAUGAUGUGACCGCCCAGAUGAAAGAGCUCCGAAUCCACUCAACGGACGACAAACUGAGAAAAAUCAGUGAAAAGAACAGCACUCCAGGCCCACCUUGAAACGCGUGUCUUUGAAGUUUUAAGUGAGGCUGGGUCGCAUCUGACAGCGUGCGCCGCCGUGGGGAGGCUGCCUGAGCUGUCUUCUGGCCUCUGGGCCUUCCAAAAAUGAACGUUUUAACAUCAACGUGGCCAUGGACCCACCUGCUGUACGAGCUGCGGUUGCGCGUGUGAUUUUCCUCUGUGAGGCAGGAGGCAGGCUAGCCUGGGAAGGGCUGGGGGCCUGGAGGAGGUCGGCAGAGACCCGGCCGUGCAUGCGAAUGGAUGCAAGGGGAGCACUGACUGACUCUCGCACACACGUUCAGCCUCCUUCCAGGUGCUGCUCCUUCUCUCUCUGGACUCCACUCUCCCCAAAAUCCCAGGAUAUGUCUCCAAGGGAACAUUUCAUUCUUUCCUCCUCAACCCCCCAAAUGCCCUUGGAGACCCUCAGUUCUCAGCUGAUGGCUUUUCCUCUUGGUGACACGCGGCACCUGCUUUGGGGAAAAUGCAGAAGCCACCAAGCUUCCUGAAACAUCUUCAAUUUUCCCUCUGACAGAUGGAAACACCCCCACUCCUGUUGGAGCCCAGGGCCACCCCUCUGGGCAUUGCACAGACACCAGGCAUAGCGGCAUCCCUUUCCCGGACUCCAGAGUCGUGCCCCUGAAAUCUGUCUAUCCCACAGCCUCCACUUCCCCGCCAGACAUAUUACCUCAAUAGCAGAGACCAAGCUUUAACCUCUUCUACGUUAAAAAAUAACAAUAAUAAAGCUCCUGCCUUAAAAACAAGGAUGUCCUGCCUUCGUCCUCUCCUCUCCUUCUCAAGGCAGGCCAUGGAGAGACUGCCCACCUCCCCGUGCCCACAUCCCCAUGCCCACCUCACCGUUCCCACCUCCCCACACCGCUUCCUCCCCUGGCUGCCACUGAGUCUGCUGUUCCCUCCACUUGGCAUGACUCUCUAAAUCUCACACAGCUCACUCCUUCUUCAGAUCCAGGCAUCAGCCCCAGGCUGCC
This 1651-nucleotide long non-coding RNA is filed under the name Homo sapiens (human). RNAcentral's name for it is "HSALNT0117012". Lineage: Eukaryota; Metazoa; Chordata; Mammalia; Primates; Hominidae. The record is from RNAcentral.